GAUGAAGAACGUAGCGAAAUGCGAUACUUGGUGUGAAUUGCAGAAUCCCGUGAACCAUCGAGUCUUUGAACGCAAGUUGCGCCUCAAGCCAUUAGGUUGAGGGCACGUCUGCCUGGGCGUCCCACAUCGUUGCCUGAUGCCAGUUUCCUCGUGAUGGGUGACUGUGCAGGGCGAAUGAUGGCUUCCCGUGAGCAUUGUUGCCUCAUGGUUGGUUGAAAAUUGAGUCCUUGGUAGGGAGCGCCGUGAUAGAUGGUGGUUGAGUGACGAACGAGACCCAAUCAUGUGAGACCCCUACCGAAUUUGGCCUUCAUGACCCACAUGCGUCUUUGGAACGCUCAUGACGAGACCUCAGGUCAGGCGGGGCUACCCGCUGAGUUUAAGCAUAUCAAUAAGCGGAGGA
RNAcentral lists this unclassified non-coding RNA (400 nucleotides) under soil metagenome. RNAcentral describes it as "partial contains 5.8S ribosomal RNA, internal transcribed spacer 2, and large subunit ribosomal RNA". The stretch from base 1 to 122 matches the Rfam family "5.8S ribosomal RNA", at positions 35 to 154 of the family's 154-position model. The record is from RNAcentral.